UCCUUAUUAACUUCGGCUUAGAAAUUUCAAUAACCUUGAAAUAUUUCCUCCUUAUUUCUCUCCAUCAUCGUACUCUUUCAGUCCAUAAUUCUCAUUUUCCCAUAAUAUCCUCUACUCUUUUUCGGUAACCUCGAACUCUCAAUCAUCAUCUCAUUCCUUAUGAUGCAAACUUUUUAAUUUUUGUUGUUAGAGUUAGUUUUUGUUAAUUAUGUCUUACUUCUGACUUGAAGAAGAAGAUGAGUGAGAGUAAGGUAUGAGGUUGAGAAAGUAUGAGGUUAUAGGGUUUGAGAGAAUAUUAAGAAAGGGGAAAGAGUAAAAGGUAUCUCGACAGAGUGAGGACUGUGGGUGAGAGAGUAUGAAGAUUAGUGAGAAAUGAGGAUGAGUAUUUAGGGUUAUUGGAAAAAAAAUUGGGUCCAAAUUGAUAAUGACAGAGUCAAAAAGUGCAUCUCAAAUAACAUGGACAUGAUCUAUGGUAAGCAAAGGAUAAGCAUUAUCAGCCUGAUCCAAAGACUCGUCUCUACUCAAAAGACAUCAAAACUUAAAAUGGACGGAUAAAGCUAAAGACUAGUAGAUCCAGACGAUGUUGUAGUUUAGUUUUCUGACUAUUGUUGUAUUAGAG
Molecule: non-coding RNA, 619 nt
Organism: Lupinus albus (white lupine)
Lineage: Eukaryota; Viridiplantae; Streptophyta; Magnoliopsida; Fabales; Fabaceae
Source: the annotation of a GenBank genome assembly